Molecule: long non-coding RNA, 1021 nt
Filed under: Linum usitatissimum (flax)
Lineage: Eukaryota; Viridiplantae; Streptophyta; Magnoliopsida; Malpighiales; Linaceae
Description: long non-coding RNA (LUSI_LNC006026)
Source: RNAcentral
UGAAUUUGAAUAACCUCAACUACAAUUAAAGGGUUAAAAUCCUACCAUCAUCAACUUGCAAUCCAGUCUACAAAUUUAUCUAAUCUAGGCAACAAGAGACGAUGUUUAGCUACUCAUGGAACUAAAUGACAAUAGCAGAAGAGAACCGGAAAAGAGAAAACAAUAUUCUUCGAAGAAAUCCUAAUCUCAACAUGUCGAUUUGUCCUUGGCCAACCGUGGCGGAAACCUUUGCUUCAAUCACCUUGCAUACGCUCUGAAUCUCCGAAAAGUCACCUUACUCCAAACUCUGGUUCGUCAAAACUCAAAACUGUUAUCUAGGGUUUUGUGAAGAAGUAUGCCUAAUUGGUGAUGGAAAAGAGACUAAAUAUCCCGGCAGAGAGAGCACAUCAUAUGCUCUGCCUUAUUACAUAUUCCCCCCCAAAACCAACAGUAGUCAGAGCACAUCCAUGGCUAUGCUCUCGUAUGAAACAUCGUGCUUCCCGGGAGCACGGUGCAGUCUCCUACCGAAUUGACAUUCCUCCGUUCUAACCUGCUUCCGACUUCCGUUUAUGCUCCCCCUCAAUCCGAUGCGUAAUUUAACACCUGAAAAUACACAAAAAAUGCAGGAACAAUGUAAUAGAGCCUAGAGACAAAAUUACAUGCACAAGACACUGGAAUAUAAUCACAUAUACAAUAAAUUUCGUUUUAGACGGGUGAUUGCACCAAUAAUCAAGUAUCAAUCAUAAAGAUCAUGUCAGUGUUUGAACAAAUCAUAGAGAGGCUGGCUGACCUCCUAUUUAAUGCAGUCGUCGGCACGUCUUGGAACUUUGUAUAUAACGGACGCUUGUGAAACAAGUAAUAACUAGUUUCUAUGGAGUACUGGAGAAUCAACGUUGAGGAUCGGUCAACUUACAUGCACAUGAAUUAGGUGUUGAGAAUCUCCGUUGAUCUCUCUGAAGUCUUAACUACGUACUCUGUCACUCCCCCUGAUGAUCAAGUCUAACAGAACCAAUCAGUGUAUCAAACCGCAAUCGUAUAUAUA